Cavia porcellus (domestic guinea pig) is the source of this 1143-nucleotide long non-coding RNA. Lineage: Eukaryota; Metazoa; Chordata; Mammalia; Rodentia; Caviidae. The record is from Ensembl.
AAUAAUUAUUUUGAAAUCAAUAUUUUAGGAUUGAAUUGGUGUGUUCACACCUGAAAGAAAAUGUUCAAAGUCUCGAAAUGGAGAUUUUGAGCCAGACAAAGAAAAGGAAGAAAACAGCAGGAAAAGUUGAACAUGCUCAGAAACACUUGUCAAAUGACAGUUUGUUGACAGAAGCACAAGACCGAGAUACAAGCUCUGUGCAACACGACGAAAAAACGGAAGAACCCUUAGACAGAUCUGUGCAAACACUCACAUUGGAGAAUUUGCGCCUGAAAAAGGAAAAUCAAAAGCUAAGGGGUAAACUUGAACGAGCUCAGAAACACUUGUUGAGCAAUAGAUUGUCUGAAGAUGAGAAAGAACAGUUCUUCAAAUUCACUGAGCUGUUCAAAAGUGCAAUGUCUGAGGUGGAGCAAUUAAAGAAGGAAAAGCACGACCUGGAAUGUGCUUUGGAUGAAAUACAAAAGAAAAAUCGUGAACCUGAAUCAGAACUAGCAGGGACUCAAUGGACAACUUCACCUUCACCCUAGGCAAAGAUGAGAAGAAACCUCACCACUGGAUUACAGUGGGCCCAGCAGGACCACAUUGUGUGUGACUACCAUUGGAAGACCCUCUGCCUUGUGAUGAGUGUGCCACCACCAACUACAUGACAACCAAGGGAAAUGAAAUUUGUGCAGAAAGACCAUUCCUGGUGCCAUGACUGCUUCUGUGUCACCUGUGACCAUAUUCAGCUUCACUUUUCCUGAGAUUCCCUAGGUCUUGUCCAAGUCAAGCAGUGUUCAGAAGCUGCAGGAUUCAGAGGUUGCAAUUCAAAGCCCUGAUUUAUGUAUAGAAAUAAGAGGACUUCAUAGGUACAAGAAAAGCACUCUUUAGAAGACUUUGAACGGAAGAAACCUGAGUUUUCUGUAUGAGACUCACCUUGUUAGUUUACGUGGUUGCAGAAGGACCUGACUUCUCACCUGCCUCUGCCACGGUGGGCACAAGCAGGGGCACAGAUGUCCAGUGAUGGCCCCAAGGCAGGUCACCAGGGGGCAAAGUCUCCUGUCUCAAUGUCAUUCUGACCUUCUUAGUUGCACGGAGAGGGAUUUUGCUCACCACAAAACCCAAGCACGUACUUUUCUUGUGAAGCUCCUGUGCAGAUGGAAU